AUUGAACGCUGGCGGCAUGCUUUACACAUGCAAGUCGAACGGUAACAGGUUAAGCUGACGAGUGGCGAACGGGUGAGUAAUGCAUCGGAACGUGCCCGGUCGUGGGGGAUAACGCAGCGAAAGCUGCGCUAAUACCGCAUACGAUCUAAGGAUGAAAGCGGGGGACCGUAAGGCCUCGCGCGAUCGGAGCGGCCGGUGUCAGAUUAGGUAGUUGGUGGGGUAAAGGCUCACAAAGCCAACGAUCUGUAGCUGGUCUGAGAGGACGACAAGCCACACGGGGCGUGAGACACGGCCCAGACUCCUACGGGAGGCAGCAGUGGGGAAUUUUGGACAAUGGGCGAAAGCCUGAUCCAGCAAUGCCGCGUGCAGGAAGAAGGCCUUCGGGUUGUAAACUGCUUUUGUACGGAGCGAAAAGGUCUCCUCUAAUACAGGGGGCUCAUGACGGUACCGUAAGAAUAAGCACCGGCUAACUACGUGCCAGCCGCCGCCGUAA
RNAcentral lists this ribosomal RNA (493 nucleotides) under uncultured bacterium. RNAcentral's name for it is "partial 16S ribosomal RNA". It matches the Rfam family "Bacterial small subunit ribosomal RNA", at positions 29 to 523 of the family's 1533-position model. The record is from RNAcentral.